RNAcentral lists this ribosomal RNA (253 nucleotides) under uncultured bacterium. RNAcentral describes it as "partial 16S ribosomal RNA". It matches the Rfam family "Bacterial small subunit ribosomal RNA", at positions 524 to 776 of the family's 1533-position model. The record is from RNAcentral.
UACGGGGGGAGCAAGCGUUGUUCGGAAUUAUUGGGCGUAAAGGGCGCGUAGGCGGCCACGUAAGUCGAAUGUGAAAGCCCAGGGCUCAACCCUGGAAGUGCAUUCGAAACUGUGUGGCUUGAGUCUCGGAGAGGGUGGUGGAAUUCCCAGUGUAGAGGUGAAAUUCGUAGAUACUGGGAGGAACACCGGUGGCGAAGGCGACCACCUGGACGAAGACUGACGCUGAGGCGCGAGAGCGUGGGGAGCAAACAGG